UCCCUGGAGGACUAGUGGUUAGGCCACCGUGCUCUAACACUGCGGUCUGGGUUCAAUUCCCGGCCAGAGAG
Non-coding RNA from Pangasius djambal, 71 nucleotides. Lineage: Eukaryota; Metazoa; Chordata; Actinopteri; Siluriformes; Pangasiidae. The record is from the annotation of a GenBank genome assembly.